RNAcentral lists this small RNA (1319 nucleotides) under Pan troglodytes (chimpanzee). RNAcentral describes it as "retained intron". The record is from RNAcentral. Lineage: Eukaryota; Metazoa; Chordata; Mammalia; Primates; Hominidae.
GCGGGAGGAUGCCUCGCGCCCUGCCUAGGCGUUAACGGCCUCAGCGCGUCCCGGGCCGCGCCGGGAACGCCUGAGAGCCGAGCCCGCGCUGACCGGGGCCCGGGCCGGAUGGGCGCUGCGGGCCGGGGCGCGGACCGCGGAGCGGCCGUUACGUUUUUCUCUCGUCCCAGCUGUGUGGACAGUGCCACACGCCCUCCUGGACAACGACGGCUCUUGCGUGCAUUUUCCAGUGUUGCUUUUGUCAGAGAGGCCAGCAGAGCCACGGUUCUUCCAGAACCAGCCCUGAGCUGAGUGAGGAGUGCCCAGGAGAGAUGGUGAAAAUGACAAAGUCCAAAACUUUCCAAGCGUAUCUGCCGAACUGUCACCGAACGUACAGCUGUAUCCACUGCAGAGCACACCUGGCCAAUCAUGACGAGCUCAUCUCCAAGGCAAGUGGCUUAUGCCAAAAAAUUGAUGGCACAAUGAUUAUCUGUCAUUGUGGUACCUACAUAGUGGAAGAAUAUUUAAGCAUCACAUGACUUCCUGAGUCUGCUGUGUCCUGAACGUCUAGAGCCUUCUAGGCAGCAUUGUCACUUGCAGAAUGUUGACGCAGCAGAAUCAGCCACUCCUGUCUACAAUGAAAAACAGCUUGCAGCUCCGUUAAGUGGCUGUUAUUAGAAGUGGAGUUCUGGAGGGGGGACGCCGGUGUCUGCUCCCGGUGACGCAUCCCGGCGCAGCUAACAGCCGCGGGGCUGGACUCCCCUGGCUCUGGGCAGCACCGCUUCGUUCCAGAAAGCACUCGCAGCCAAUCUCACGGGACCUUCUUCUUUCAGUCCUUUCAGGGGAGCCAGGGACGUGCCUACCUCUUCAAUUCCGUGGUGAACGUGGGCUGCGGCCCUGCAGAGGAGAGGGUCCUUCUCACCGGGCUGCAUGCGGUUGCCGACAUCUACUGCGAGAACUGCAAGACCACGCUCGGGUGGAAAUACGAGCAUGCCUUUGAGAGCAGUCAGAAAUAUAAGGAAGGAAAAUUCAUCAUUGAGCUUGCUCACAUGAUCAAAGACAAUGGCUGGGAGUAAUGUGCGAACUUUCCCUUCUCCUUCGAAUGCUGUUUUGUGAAAGAAACUGUGAAUGUAAUGGAAACGUAGGAGCAUCUGGUGACAGCCUUUCUUGCCCUCUGACCUCAAAGGCUAGCUGCGCAUAGCUCUUGACACUCUCGGCCAUCUCUGUGGGUAAGGUGUCCCUCGGAUCUGUCCUCUUCGUGUACACAGUUGUUUCUGAAAAUUUUCAAUGAACUUUUUCUAACUUCUCAAGUUCUAGAGAAAGAAUUAACCAACUGAUGA